Molecule: ribosomal RNA, 235 nt
Filed under: uncultured Lactobacillus sp.
Lineage: Bacteria; Bacillati; Bacillota; Bacilli; Lactobacillales; Lactobacillaceae
Description: partial 16S ribosomal RNA
Rfam family: Bacterial small subunit ribosomal RNA
Source: RNAcentral
UGCCCAAGAGAUCGGGAUAACACCUGGAAACAGAUGCUAAUACCGGAUAACAACAGAUGAUGCCUAUCAACUGUUUAAAAGAUGGUUCUGCUAUCACUCUUGGAUGGACCUGCGGUGCAUUAGCUAGUUGGUAGGGUAACGGCCUACCAAGGCGAUGAUGCAUAGCCGAGUUGAGAGACUGAUCGGCCACAUUGGGACUGAGACACGGCCCAAACUCCUACGAGAGGCAGCAGCG